Molecule: ribosomal RNA, 279 nt
Filed under: uncultured bacterium
Lineage: Bacteria
Description: partial 16S ribosomal RNA
Rfam family: Bacterial small subunit ribosomal RNA
Source: RNAcentral
UGCCAGCCGCCGCGGUAAUACGGAGGGGGCGAGCGUUAUUCGGAAUUACUGGGCGUAAAGGGUGCGUAGGCGGCCCAUCAAGUUAGACGUGAAAGCCCCGGGCUCAACCUGGGAAUUGCCUUUGAUACUGCCAGUCUCGAGUUCAGGAGAGGUAAGCGGAAUUCCGAGUGUAGAGGUGAAAUUCGUAGAUAUUCGGAGGAACACCAGAGGCGAAGGCGGCUUACUGGACUGAUACUGACGCUGAGGAGCGAAAGCGUGGGGAGCAAACAGGAUUAGAUA